CACCCCCACCCUUGUCUAGGAACUUGGCAGCAAAUGGUUGUGUCCUGCUGAAAACCGAUGCUAUCAAUCUAAGGGAGCUGUGUAUAAAAGAAACCGUUUGUCUUGGAACAGGUGCUCAGACCCGUAUGCGGCUACCCAGGUCUGGGACCUCCUGCAUGAGUAAUAAAGUGGUUCCUGACCUCACCCUUCCUGAAGCACCGCUUGUUUCUUCCUCUGCCUGGAGGAAGCCCAGGCUUGGCCAAACCGGCAAACCCAGCCCCGAAGGAAAGGGUGGACUCGCCGGUCCCAGAAAAGCCAAGACGGCGGGACCGGUCUCCUCGUCGAUAGACCACCGCCACAAAAUCCACAAACAGCAUGACAGCCCUGGAUGCCCCCACCCAGCCUUGGGCAAGAAAGAGACUUGACAAAUGCAAAGAUGUAACAAAUCACGGCAAAACCAACAAACUAAGGAAGAGUGGUUCUCAGACGGGGAGAGCAUCAAUUUGACAGCGAGACGAGAUGACCUUACAACCUUUGGGGAGAAGCAAGGUUAGACUCAUAAAUGCACAAGUGAAGAUAUAUCCUUUAUAUAUCUAUAUAUAUAUAUAUACAGAUAUAGAUAUAUCUGUAGACAG
Molecule: long non-coding RNA, 614 nt
Organism: Talpa occidentalis (Iberian mole)
Lineage: Eukaryota; Metazoa; Chordata; Mammalia; Eulipotyphla; Talpidae
Exons: 3
Source: RefSeq, a predicted model, not a curated record